UCACAUUUUAAAAAUAGUGUACAACAUAUAGAAUCUUACCCAAUACUGACCGUAAAGUCUGUUAUUUGUGUUGUAGAAACAAAGUCUUACAUGAAAGCUAGCCUUAUUAAAUAAGAUAUAUUCAUAUUUGAAAGACCGUUGAUCUUACUGAUUUCGGUUUGACUAGUCUGAACUUGUUCGUCACACACUUGUUUUUGACAUUUUAAAUUAUACUUGGAACAAUUAACGCGGGAAAAAAACAAGAUUAAGCAAUACUGUGACUCUAGAACCAAUGCUUUUAGUAUUACACGAAGGGAUUUUGAGACAGAAUGAUAGUAAAAAAGCAGUAAAUUAAAAACUGCCGCCGCAAAUCCAGGUGUCGGCCAUGUUUGUG
Molecule: long non-coding RNA, 373 nt
Filed under: Mytilus galloprovincialis (Mediterranean mussel)
Lineage: Eukaryota; Metazoa; Mollusca; Bivalvia; Mytilida; Mytilidae
Source: RNAcentral